GCAAACUUGGUCAUUUAGAGGAAGUAAAAGUCGUAACAAGGUUUCCGUAGGUGAACCUGCGGAAGGAUCAUUAGUGAAUAAAUUUGGGUGGGUUGUUGCUGACCUCCUCGGAGGUAUGUGCACACUUGCUCACAGUUUCAUUCAUCUCCCUUCCACCUGUGCACUCCCUGUAGGCUGGGCUAUCUCCCUUCAGUGCGCUUUGAGUGCGCUGGUCAUGAGGAUUUGCAACUCUGCUGUCCUUGGAUGGUCCCAAUCUAUGUUUUUACCAACUCUGCAUGUAAUUGAAUGUCUGUUCUGGGUUCAUUUGACCCAAUAAAACCCUAUACAACUUUCAACAACGGAUCUCUUGGCUCUCGCAUCGAUGAAGAACGCAGC
Molecule: unclassified non-coding RNA, 375 nt
Filed under: uncultured fungus
Lineage: Eukaryota; Fungi
Description: partial contains small subunit ribosomal RNA, internal transcribed spacer 1, and 5.8S ribosomal RNA
Rfam family: Eukaryotic small subunit ribosomal RNA (bases 1-73)
Source: RNAcentral